AGCAGCCGCGGUAAUUCCAGCUCCAAUAGCGUAUAUUAAAGUUGUUGCAGUUAAAAAGCUCGUAGUUGAAUUUCGGGAUCAAUAUAUCGGUCGUGCCAUCGGUACGUACUGGUAUGAUUGGUUUCUCCUUUCUGACGAACCAUGAUGUCAUUAAUUUGGUGUUAUGGGAAGCUAGGACUGUUAACUUUGAAAAAUUAGAGUGUUUAAAGCAGGCUCGCGCUUGAAUACAUUAGCAUGGAAUAAUGAAAUAGGACGUUUGAUUCUAUUUUGUUGGUUUCUAGGAUCGACGUAAUGAUUAAUAGGGAUAGUUGGGGGCAUUAGUAUUCAAUUGUCAGAGGUGAAAUUCUUGGAUUUAUUGAAGACUAACUACUGCGAAAGCGUUUGCCAAGGAUGUUUUCAUUAAUCAAGAACGAAAGUUAGGGGAUCGAAGACGAUCAGAUACCGUCGUAGUCUUAACCAUAAACUAUGCCGACUAGGGAUCGGAUGAUGUUAUUUUGAUGACUCAUUCGGCUACCG
This 516-nucleotide small RNA is filed under the name uncultured Glomus. RNAcentral describes it as "SSU rRNA". It matches the Rfam family "Eukaryotic small subunit ribosomal RNA", at positions 569 to 1089 of the family's 1831-position model. The record is from RNAcentral. Lineage: Eukaryota; Fungi; Glomeromycota; Glomeromycetes; Glomerales; Glomeraceae.